RNAcentral lists this unclassified non-coding RNA (343 nucleotides) under soil metagenome. RNAcentral's name for it is "partial contains 5.8S ribosomal RNA, internal transcribed spacer 2, and large subunit ribosomal RNA". The stretch from base 1 to 120 matches the Rfam family "5.8S ribosomal RNA", at positions 35 to 154 of the family's 154-position model. The record is from RNAcentral.
GAUGAAGAACGCAGCGAAAUGCGAUAAGUAAUGUGAAUUGCAGAAUUCAGUGAAUCAUCGAAUCUUUGAACGCACAUUGCGCCCGCUAGUAUUCUGGCGGGCAUGCCUGUCCGAGCGUCAUUUCAACCCUCAAGCCCCCGGGCUUGGUGUUGGGGAUCGGCGAGCCUCCGCGCCCGCCGUCCCCUAAAUCUAGUGGCGAUCUCGCUGUAGCUUCCUCUGCGUAGUAGCACACCUCGCACUGGGAAACAGCGCGGCCACGCCGUUAAACCCCCAACUUCUGAACGUUUGACCUCGGAUCAGGUAGGAAUACCCGCUGAACUUAAGCAUAUCAAUAAGCGGAGGA